UUGUGUCGAUACAAUAUUCAGUUGUUUCUUUUUUGCUUUCUACAAUGGUAGGAAUAGAGUGCUCUUAUUUUAUACAAUGGAACACAAAUUGCUUCCCUACUAACUAAACAAGCUAAAAAAAUUGGUUAAAUCAGUGCAAAAUUGACAUUUAAUUUGUGUUGAAUUUGCUAGGGAAUAUGGAUAACUAUGAUAGUCUUUUGACUGAUGGAGACAAUGGCAAUACUUGAGAUGGAAAUUUAGAUUAGCCUGUAGUUAAGGAGCAAGAAGAACCAAUUCAAAUACCUUCUCCCUCCAUGAGACCAAACAGCAAAAGAUCAAAAAAAACAAUUGUAAGGAGGAAAAUAAAAUAUUGGUGUCAGCAUGGCUACAUAUAAGUAUGGAUGGAGCCUUAGGGAUCCAACAAUCUCGCUCUAUUUAUUGGAAGAGAAUUCAUUUUUACUUCCACAAGCACAAGAACUUCGAGUCAGAUUGUAAUCCAACUUCCCUCCAGAACCGUUGGUCUGAUAUUUAAAAAGCUAUUAACAAGUUUGCUUCUCGUGUUGAUGAGAUUAAGUGGAGAAAGCAAAGCGGAGUUACAGAAAGAGACAAGAUUGUUGAAGCAUGUACCGUUAAUAGCUUGAGACCUGGUAGCAACUCAGAAAGUAAUCCCUUGAGAAGACCAAGUGGUAAGAAGGAGGCCAAAGAGAGAUUACGACAAGGUAAAAGUUGCUUGGGCAUAGAAGAUAACAUGUACAUGGAAGCAUUUGAUAGUUUCUGGGCAAAAAAGGUGGAAAUGGAGAAAGUGAAAGAACUCAAGAAAGAGGAGCACUAUGAAUAAGCACAUGCGCAAGAACAAGAGAGAAUUGCAUUAGAACAAAAAAUGAUUGCAAUUGAGGCCAAACAGCUUGAAGUUAAGAAUAAAGAGUUGGAGUUUAAGAUAUGGUUGGAAGAGGAGAGAAUUAUGGGGAUAGACACUAGUGUCAUGACUGGGCCACAACAAGAAUAUUACAUGAGCUUGCAAAAUGAGAUUAUUGCUAGAUGACGCAAUCGCUCGGGUUGAGCUACUUCAUAUAUUGUCUCAACUAUAAUUUUACUAUGCUGUACUAUAUAUACGUUGUGGGAACCAUGAACUUGUGAGAACCAUUAUGUUGUAUGAACAAUUAACUUGUGUUA
Long non-coding RNA from Phragmites australis (common reed), 1152 nucleotides. RefSeq lists it as uncharacterized. The record is from RefSeq and is a predicted model, not a curated record. The transcript is spliced from 2 exons. NCBI's taxonomy places the organism in Eukaryota, Viridiplantae, Streptophyta, Magnoliopsida, Poales, Poaceae.